This 901-nucleotide ribosomal RNA is filed under the name uncultured bacterium. Its description in RNAcentral is "bacterial SSU rRNA". It matches the Rfam family "Bacterial small subunit ribosomal RNA", at positions 505 to 1398 of the family's 1533-position model. The record is from RNAcentral.
GUGUCAGCAGCCGCGGUAAUACGAAGGGCCCAAGCGUUGAUCGGAAUUACUGGGCUUAAAGGGUGCGCAGGCGGGCUCGUCAGUGUCUUGUGAAAUCCCACGGCUCAACCGUGGAACUGCAGGGCAUACUGCGAGCCUUGAGGUAGGUAGGGGCAAUCGGAACUCUAGGUGUAGCGGUGAAAUGCGUAGAUAUCUAGAGGAACGCCAAAGGUGAAGACAGAUUGCUGGGCCUAUCCUGACGCUCAUGCACGAAAGCGUGGGUAGCGAAGAGGAUUAGAUACCCUCGUAGUCCACGCCGUAAACGAUGUGUACUAGAUUUCGGAGGCCUGACGCCAUCGGAGUCGAAGUAAAAACCAUAAGUACACCGCCUGGGGAGUACGGUCGCAAGGCUAAAACUCAAAGGAAUUGACGGGGGAUCACACAAGCGGUGGAGCAUGUGGCUUAAUUCGAGGCAACGCGAAGAACCUUAUCCUGGGUUUGACAUGCAUGGAUUAGCUCCUAGAAACAGGAGUGACACUCUUUGAGUGGAACAUGCACAGGUGCUGCAUGGCUGUCGUCAGCUCGUGCUGUGAAGUGUCGGGUUAAGUCCCUUAACGAGCGAAACCCCUGCUGCUAGUUGCCAGCGAGUAAUGUCGGGGACUCUAGCAGGACUGCCGGUGUUAAACCGGAGGAAGGUGGGGAUGACGUCAAGUCCUCAUGGCCUUUAUGCCCAGGGCUGCACACGUGCUACAAUGGCAUCUACAAAGCGACGCAAUACGGCGACGUGGAGCAAAUCGCAAAAAAGAUGCCUCAGUUCGGAUUGUAGUCUGCAACUCGACUACAUGAAGUUGGAAUCGCUAGUAAUCGCGUAUCAGCAACGACGCGGUGAAUACGUUCCUGAUCCUUGCACACACCGCCCGUC